AUUCCCUUCUCUGGAGAUUCAUAGUAAGUCCAGGAUACAGGGUUUUCUUCUUUUCUGUUCCAAGAAUAAGCCACAGAGGUUCUGGAAGAAACACUUUUUCCCUCCAUAUCACUUUUGCCACUCUAUAUCCUCAACAGCACCUGUAGUCAACUCACAGCAUCAAAGAUCCACAAGGCCCAGUGAUGGCUGACUAUCCUAAGAAAAGGAGGGCAGUAAAGAAUUCUCCUGGGACCACUGCUGUGCCCAGGCACAGACAAUGAAUUCUCCUUUAAGACUUGUCGGUCUCAUUUCUAAUAAAGCUAAAAAAAAAAAUCUUCAAACUAUUUCUAUAUAAACGCGAACAAUUUGUGAUCGAAGUGUGCUCCAUGCAGAACUGUGCUGUAACUAUGGAAACUUACAUGGAGGGAGACAUCCACUGUAAAUCUAUAAGGAUCUAAUUUGGAUGAGAUUUAGUUGUACUAGUCACCGAUUUAUGAAUAUUCCAAUCAUGUAAAAAAAAAAAAAAAACACACCCUAGUUUCUAACAGCAUUGUUUUUAAAUAGGGAGCUCUGUGAAUGAGAAUGCUAUUACCAGCAUUUACACCGAACAGUUUCUGUAUCUUAUUUUAUGAUUCUUUUGCAACUUG
This is a non-coding RNA of Meleagris gallopavo (turkey), 626 nucleotides long. The record is from RefSeq and is a predicted model, not a curated record. NCBI's taxonomy places the organism in Eukaryota, Metazoa, Chordata, Aves, Galliformes, Phasianidae.